UCCCCGCUCCUCCUCCAAGGGACGCCAACAUUCGCCAGAGCCACCGCCUCCAGUCCCGCGCCAUCCACCAACCCUCCGCUGCCUCCCGCGCCAUCCGCCACCCGCUGAUCCACUCGGCCUCCACCGCUGCCGAUCCACUCAUUCUCCGCUGCCACUCAGAUUGGCCUCCGUCGCCGCCACCGGUCCUGCUUCCCCGCGGACAAAUACGAGCGUGAGCAGCCCCCCACCGGUCCAAGAAUGCGGGAACGGCCCCGCCGCUGCCGCCCGCCGGUCUACCUCUACUGCCCACACCAACCUCUCAAUCCCUCCUCUUCCCGCUGCAUCUCCCACGCCCCAGCCACCCCUCAUCCAGCGCGCCUCCGCGCCGGGACGCCGCUGCUCCUCAUUCAGUGCGGUGCUCCUCCGCAGCCGGCGGCCCUUGCUCCUUCGCCAGCGCGCCUCCACGCCGGGCCGCCGCCACUCCUCAUCCUCAGCCCUGUCGCCGCCUCGCGCGCCUCUGCGCCUGGCCACCGCGAGCGUGCGUCCGCUCCACGCCUCCCCGCGCACAAAGAGGCCGGCCCUCCACAUUUCCCACGACACGCCCGGGGAGCUCCUUGUGCGAAAAAUCCCUCAACAAUUGGCGCGCCGAUGACAUCCAUAUCCUUUCCAGUAAAUCAGGUUCAUAAAGUAGCAAGUAUUUAUGUCCAGUUAUAUGCUUAUACUAAUUUCUUCACUUCCCCAUGGUUUUACCUUCAUCCACAUGCAUCUCCCUUAGAAUUAGAGGAAUUUUCUCCGUUUAAUGGGAAAGCAACUGGUUGAUGUGAAAAUCUGUGAAAACAACAAUUGAAGUGGGGUAAAUCAUUGGGAUUUUGUGCUGUGUCUCUAUCGGAAGUUUGAAGUCGCCCCGUGUCCUUCGUUACAUAGGACUAUGCGUGUCUGUACAUUGGACAAAGAGGACAAUAUGAUGUUCACAAUGAUGCACAUGCUUCAGAUUGACUAUAUAGAUCCUAUGAUUAAAGAGGGACAAGUUUACUAUAUGGAGCUAUACGAGGUAUGAGCUUGAGGCGCUCUUAGUGGCGCGCCGUUGUGGGAGGCGCAUGCACUGUGGUGGGCCGAGGUGUGUACUACGUGGGAGAUGUGAGGAAAAUGCUCAAUUCCUAUUUUGAUUGAUGGUAUGAGAAACAAUAUAUGAAGACUUGGUUAUUUCUUUCAGUUGAGACGUCCAGUGAGAAUUUAGCACCGACAUAAUGAGAGUGGAAUUCAGCCCUGAAGAAAGCACUGUCAAAUGAACCGGCAUAUAUUUCAUCACUUGGUUCUUCUAUCUAUGAAGUAGUGUGAACCUGCAUUCCAAAUUUCUUCUACAUGAAGCAGAUAUGCUAUAUUGCUAUUUGAGAUGUGAUUCUCCUGUCCUUAGAAGCAUGUUCUUUGUCCUAAUUUUUUGUAUGCUCUAUGUUCUUCAGAGAUUAUACUUAAAACAGUCUUGAUUAGUGUUA
Triticum aestivum (bread wheat) is the source of this 1472-nucleotide RNA transcript. It is a transcript of the gene named putative transcription factor SPT20 homolog-like 2, with no coding region annotated. Lineage: Eukaryota; Viridiplantae; Streptophyta; Magnoliopsida; Poales; Poaceae. The record is from RefSeq and is a predicted model, not a curated record. The transcript is spliced from 3 exons.